GUCUCUGUGGUGUAGUGGUAGAGCACAUGUUCGCGGAUAGAUAAAACUCGGGUUUGAUUCCUGCCUGAGGCG
Molecule: non-coding RNA, 72 nt
Organism: Parelaphostrongylus tenuis
Lineage: Eukaryota; Metazoa; Nematoda; Chromadorea; Rhabditida; Metastrongylidae
Source: the annotation of a GenBank genome assembly